This 264-nucleotide ribosomal RNA is filed under the name uncultured bacterium. RNAcentral describes it as "partial 16S ribosomal RNA". It matches the Rfam family "Bacterial small subunit ribosomal RNA", at positions 793 to 1055 of the family's 1533-position model. The record is from RNAcentral.
GUCCACGCCGUAAACGAUGGGCACUAGGUGUGGGAGGUGUCGACUCCUUCCGUGCCGAAGCUAACUCAUUAAGUGCCCCGCCUGGGGAGUACGGCCGCAAGGCUAAAACUCAAAGGAAUUGACGGGGGCCCGCACAAGCAGCGGAGCAUGUGGUUUAAUUCGACGAAACGCGAAGAACCUUACCUGGGCUUGACAUGUCUCUGACCGGUGUGGAAACACAUCUUCCCUUUUAGGGCAGAGUCACAGGUGGUGCAUGGCUGUCGU